This 248-nucleotide ribosomal RNA is filed under the name uncultured bacterium. RNAcentral's name for it is "partial 16S ribosomal RNA". It matches the Rfam family "Bacterial small subunit ribosomal RNA", at positions 524 to 776 of the family's 1533-position model. The record is from RNAcentral.
UACGGGGGGAGCAAGCGUUGUUCGGAUUUACUGGGCGUAAAGGGCGCGUAGGCGGUCAGCACAAGUCAGUUGUGAAAUCUCCGGGCUUAACUCGGAAAGGUCAACUGAUACUGUGCGACUAGAGUGCAGAAGGGGCAACUGGAAUUCUCGGUGUAGCGGUGAAAUGCGUAGAUAUCGAGAGGAACACCUGCGGCGAAGGCGGGUUGCUGGGCUGACACUGAGGGACGAAAGCUAGGGGAGCGAAAGGG